Molecule: ribosomal RNA, 302 nt
Filed under: Salmonella enterica subsp. enterica serovar Kentucky
Lineage: Bacteria; Pseudomonadati; Pseudomonadota; Gammaproteobacteria; Enterobacterales; Enterobacteriaceae
Description: partial 23S ribosomal RNA
Rfam family: Bacterial large subunit ribosomal RNA
Source: RNAcentral
CUGGAGGUAUCAGAAGUGCGAAUGCUGACAUAAGUAACGAUAAAGCGGGUGAAAAGCCCGCUCGCCGGAAGACCAAGGGUUCCUGUCCAACGUUAAUCGGGGCAGGGUGAGUCGACCCCUAAGGCGAGGCCGAAAGGCGUAGUCGAUGGGAAACGGGUUAAUAUUCCCGUACUUGGUGUUACUGCGAAGGGGGGACGGAGAAGGCUAUGUUGGCCGGGCGACGGUUGUCCCGGUUUAAGCGUGUAGGUGUGUGUUCCAGGUAAAUCCGGUUCACUUUAACACUGAGGCGUGAUGACGAGGCA